CCGGGAGACACACGGCGGGUGCUAACGUCCGUCGUGAAGAGGGAAACAACCCAGACCACCAGCUAAGGUCCCCAAAUCGUGACUAAGUUGGAAAGGAUGUGGGAAGGCCAAAAACAACCAGGAGGUUGGCUUAGAAGCAGCCAUCCUUUAAAGAAAGCGUAACAGCUCACUGGUCUAAAUAAGCCGUCCUGCGCCGAAGAUGUAACGGGGAUCAAGUCACGUACCGAAGCUGUGGGUGCGUAUUUAUACGCGCGGUAGCGGAGCGUUCCGUAAGCCUGCGAAGGUGCACUGUAAGGUGUGCUGGAGGUAUCGGAAGUGAUCAUGCUGACAUGAGUAGCGAUAAAGAGUGUGAGAAACACUCUCGCCGAAAAUCCAAGGGUUCCUGCGCAAGGCUAAUCCGCGCAGGGUGAGCCGGUCCCUAAGGCGAGGCCGAC
RNAcentral lists this ribosomal RNA (434 nucleotides) under uncultured bacterium. RNAcentral's name for it is "bacterial LSU rRNA". It matches the Rfam family "Bacterial large subunit ribosomal RNA", at positions 977 to 1406 of the family's 2925-position model. The record is from RNAcentral.